Long non-coding RNA from Tigriopus californicus, 507 nucleotides. RefSeq lists it as uncharacterized. Lineage: Eukaryota; Metazoa; Arthropoda; Copepoda; Harpacticoida; Harpacticidae. The transcript is spliced from 2 exons. The record is from RefSeq and is a predicted model, not a curated record.
UUGUUUGCCAACUGCCUGUCUAAGCCAUUCCUUUGGGUUGCGAUUCCAUCCAUUAGAGUCUAGUCAUCUAGCAGGUGAUCAAGUUCCUCUGUGGUGUUCCACUCUUCCAUUUGGCCAAAUGGGUGCUGGGAUUUGUGGACAGGCAGUUGGUUUUGGCAUGAUAUAUGAUAUCAACCACAACAAAAGGCCCUUUCAGAAAAGAAUCUCGACCUACUCAAAGAUUGCACAAGAGCCUCCUUUAGAUGGAAAACUAUUUGCCCGUGGUGAGCGAGGCAAAAGGUUCAUCAUCCAUCCAUCCAACCAACCAACCAAUUGAAGCCAUUCCGAUGGGCCUCACUUAAACAAGACUUAUCAGAUCAUUCAAAACAGUUGGACCAGAGGAUGAUAAUUCACGUCGUUGGGAGUGCCACCCACAAAGUCAGUGAAUCAUAUUCUUUUUUGAGGGGAAGGAUGUCAUUUCCAGUCGUCACGCAACAUUGCCAAAAAUAUAUUAUCAUGGACAUUUUA